AGGAAGUAAGAUACUAGGCUUGUUUACUGAAUAACACUGGCCUUCACUUACUCUUCCAAUAUUAUAAAUGCUUUCUGAUGACUUCACUGUAUCAAGUCCACGGUGAGGACAGAUACGGAGCAGACAUUU
Physella acuta is the source of this 129-nucleotide non-coding RNA. RefSeq annotates it as small Cajal body-specific RNA 8. The record is from RefSeq and is a predicted model, not a curated record. NCBI's taxonomy places the organism in Eukaryota, Metazoa, Mollusca, Gastropoda, Physidae.